Molecule: ribosomal RNA, 492 nt
Filed under: uncultured bacterium
Lineage: Bacteria
Description: partial 16S ribosomal RNA
Rfam family: Bacterial small subunit ribosomal RNA
Source: RNAcentral
AGUGAACGCUGGCGGUAGGCCUAACACAUGCAAGUCGAACGGCAGCACAGUAAUAGCUUGCUCUUACGGGUGGCGAGUGGCGGACGGGUGAUGAAUACAUCGGAAUCUACUUUUUCGUGGGGGAUAACGUAGGGAAACUUACGCUAAUACCGCAUACGACCUACGGGUGAAAGCAUGGGAUCUUCGGACCUUGCGCGAUUGAAUGAGCCGAUGUCGGAUUAGCUAGUUGGCGGGGUAAAGGCCCACCAAGGCGACGAUCCGUAGCUGGUCUGAGAGGAUGAUCAGCCACACUGGAACUGAGACACGGUCCAGACUCCUACGGGAGGCAGCAGUGGGGAAUAUUGGACAAUGGGCGCAAGCCUGAUCCAGCCAUACCGCGUGGGUGAAGAAGGCCUUCGGGUUGUAAAGCCCUUUUGUUGGGAAAGAAAAGCAGCAGGUUAAUACCCCGCUGUUCUGACGGUACCAAAAGAAUAAGCACCGGCUAACUUCGUG